Molecule: ribosomal RNA, 253 nt
Filed under: uncultured bacterium
Lineage: Bacteria
Description: partial 16S ribosomal RNA
Rfam family: Bacterial small subunit ribosomal RNA
Source: RNAcentral
UACGUAGGGGGCAAGCGUUAUCCGGAUUUACUGGGUGUAAAGGGGGCGCAGACGGCAGCGCAAGCCAGGAGUGAAAGCCCGGGGCCCAACCCCGGGACUGCUCUUGGAACUGCGCGGCUGGAGUGCAGGAGGGGCAGGCGGAAUUCCUGGUGUAGCGGUGAAAUGCGUAGAUAUCAGGAGGAGCACCGGUGGCGAAGGCGGCCUGCUGGACUGCGACUGACGUUGAGGCCCGAAAGCGUGGGGAGCAAACAGG